UGGUGGCUGAGAGAAAAGACAGAAAACGGCACUCGACAGGAGAACUUGGAGGGGAGAGAAGGUGUGAGAAGCUAGAGGAGAGAGAGAGAGAAGGGGACGCAUAAUGAGAGAAGAAGGAGAAGAGUCCCAUUCCAGCUGUGUUUCUCAAACAAACAGAGCCGUGAGAACUUCUUCACAUUGAAGAUUUUUUAGCUGCAUGCCAAAAGAACAAACAUUUACGUCUGACAUUUUUUGGCCGACUUUAUUUAUUUUGAAUCACGCUUUCAUUCAAACAAAACAUCUUGUUAGUAUCACAGGGACAGAAAUAGCACCCAGUUCCUAUCGGACAAGAAGUACUUUAGAGUUUAUUUUAGCUUGUUUUUAGGAGUUUUAAUCAUGAGUGCAGAAAACUCGACUCUUCUGGACAGCUUGUUCUUCCCACCUCUCUGUGAUGGCUGGACCAACAACACAGAAGGAGCCAUAUACCACUUGGGAAACACCAUGGUCUUCCUGGGUUACAUGGGGGGCAGUGGGGCCUAUGGGUGCCUCUUCAUCUUCGGCUUCCUGGUUCCAGCCUUCGUGUGCCUGUCGGUGUGGGGUUGGAUCACCAUGUGUGGCCUGGACGUCUACACCUGGAACCUGCUGCUGCUGCUGGUCUGCCUGGGUCAGAUCUGCCACCUCCUCUACCGGUUGCAACAGGAGGGCAUACCCAGUGAGGAGCUGUCUUCCCUCUACCAGGGAGUCUACCUGCCGCUGGGUGUGCCUGUCCAGGUGUUCAAGGACAUCGCAGGAGCUUUUGAGAACAGGGUGGUGGAACUGAAGGCGGGAGAGACGUACGCAGUGGAGGGAAAGACGCCCAUCGACCAGCUCUCCUUUCUGCUGUCUGGGAGGAUCAAUGUAUCUCUGGAGGGUCAGUUCCUGCACUACAUCCAUCGCCACCAGUUCCUGGACUCUCCAGAGUGGGAGUCUAUCAGACCAAACGAGGAGGGGAAGUUUCAGGUGACUCUCACAGCAGAAGAAGACUCUCGCUACAUCUCAUGGCGCCGCCGUCGUCUCUACAUGCUGAUAUCAAAAGAGCGCUACAUCGCCCGUCUUUUUUCGGUCAUGCUGGGUUACGACAUCGCGGAGAAGCUCUACAACCUCAACAACAAGCUGUACAUCAAGAGCGGUGUGCUGCUGGACAUCCGCCUGCCCAGUCUCUACCAUGUCUUGGCCCCCUCCUCGCAGGGCAGCGAGGGUGGCAGCGGAAGUGACGCGGGUUUUACCAAGGAGCAGCCGGGUGUUGAUCCAGCACCGGCCUAUGAGACGUUGGAUCAGCCUCAGGGACCAAGAAAGACCUCCCAGGACGAGAUCAAGGCCCCCCAGCACCCAUGGGUGUCAGACCCGGACCUGCCCUCUGGUGAGGACUCCACCAGCCUGGUCCUGGAGGACUUUGCUGAUGUGGCGGGGUCCUUAAUGGAUUAUGGCAGUGAGAGGGAUUAUUUGAGGUAGAGGGGGCAGGGUGCUGGAGCUAACACACGGGGUCACCACUUAAGCUACAUGAGGUGAUGGCGACAGAAAUGUUCCACCUCGAUUCCAGAGAGGAAGAGCGCCGCUGGCUCCCACCGACACCCCCAAACUGUGAGGAGGAUCUCUCCUGGAAACGCUUUAAUAUGAAGAAUAAAGCAGUAUAAAUGUGCCAUGUUAGCUGUUUUAAAACAGUCUCCUCCUCACUGUCUAUCUCUGUGUUCACUUCAGUUCACAUCUCUUAUCCUCAUUCAACCCCACAGUUUCUGCUUGUCUCUGUUUGAAAAAAGGUUUUAGUUUGGGGCUGAUAUUUUUCAUAAUAUUUUACUGGAAACUCCCUCAGUACUGAUGUUUCAUGCCUGAAACAUGUUUCUUUUACAGAUUGAAGGUUUUAAAUCAACAUUUCAACUCUUAUAGUCUCUUUAAGCAGCUCUUCCAGUAGAAAGAAUAACAUUUGUUUAUAUUUGAAAUAAUUUGACAACUAUGUGACUAAAUUAAAAGUUUAGAGUGUUUUGUGAAACUUUUGUCAAAUGAAAAUCCUCUAAUUUAAAGGACAUGCCAAUUUGCAUAGUUAACAUUUAAUCCACUUUCAAUUUGAGUGGAUCAUAAAAUACUGACUGCUCCCAUUCACCUUUUAAGUUGCCACCAUAUUUAUUUAAUUUCCUCUUAACUUGCCCUUUCAGAGACACCAAAACACGUGAUUUUUGUUUUAAUCUCCCUUUUUGAUAAACAAAUGAAGAUCUAAACUCUCUCUUAAUUCAAUGAAUUUUGAUGUUUUUCUUUUUCAUUACUCUAAAAGUUUUCAAAGCAAUAUGAAAAAUGUUUUUUCCUCCAUCUACCAGUUUCAUAAUAAUAAAGAAAUGAUCUUUUCACUUUAAUUUUAUUUGGCAUGUUUAGUUAUUUUUUUCACCUGAACUUCUUGAAUCAGUCAUAAAUGUACGCUGCAUGAUGCCUUCUUCAUCUGUAGGAAACUCUUCUUCUAAAAGAGAUAGGAUGCCUGUAGAUCAUGUCUUUGUUAUUUUUGUCAUUCACCUGUAAACUGUGAAAUGUUAUUUGUCUGUUGUUGACUUCUGUUGAAGAAGACGGGACUAAAAUGAAUGAAGUCAUUGUUGAUUGUUAAAUAUCUUCAUGGGGCCAAGAUUUCUCCAUAAAACUCUCUGUAUGCAGUGGAAAUGUAGUUUUUGUGUGAAUGUCUGCUUCCUUUAAUAUCUGUCACAUGAAUACAAACCAAACCAUCUUCUCUAUUUUGUUUCAGUUUUGC
RNA transcript from Cheilinus undulatus (humphead wrasse), 2746 nucleotides. It is a transcript of the gene named popeye domain containing 2, with no coding region annotated. The transcript is spliced from 4 exons. The record is from RefSeq and is a predicted model, not a curated record. Lineage: Eukaryota; Metazoa; Chordata; Actinopteri; Labriformes; Labridae.